AGCAGCAGUGAUGCAGUUCCCCAUUUUCAUGCUGAUCUCGUUGACAUUCAUUGUCGAUUUUAGCGAUGGAGUUUCUGUCACUCAACGGGAUCCCUCACUCACGGAAACAGCGGGAGAAGAUGUCUAUUUAACCUGCACAUAUACUGGCAAUGUUUAUGAAUUACUCUGGUACCGCCAGUACCCUGGCAGAAAGCCCGAGUUCGCAGUCCGGAAGGUGGAGAGCGGCGGUACUGAAUUUAAGUCGGAUUUUGCUCAAAAGCGGUUUUCCAGUACAGUCCAGCGGUCAGAAAAGUUAUUCCGAUUGACGAUCUCGGAGCUGCUGCUGUCUGACUCCGCUGUCUACUUCUGCGCAGCGAGACUCACAAUGAUGGGAAAGAGUGAAAGACUCGUACAACAACUGCUGCUGAUUUCUGGGUCACACCUGCUGCCCGCUGUAAUCUGUUUACAGCUGGUCCUCACACAGUGA
This is a non-coding RNA of Rhincodon typus (whale shark), 466 nucleotides long. The record is from the annotation of a RefSeq genome assembly. NCBI's taxonomy places the organism in Eukaryota, Metazoa, Chordata, Chondrichthyes, Orectolobiformes, Rhincodontidae.